This 200-nucleotide unclassified non-coding RNA is filed under the name Thelephoraceae sp. RNAcentral's name for it is "partial internal transcribed spacer 2". The record is from RNAcentral. Lineage: Eukaryota; Fungi; Basidiomycota; Agaricomycetes; Thelephorales; Thelephoraceae.
UUAAGUUCAGCGGGUAAUCCUACCUGAUUUGAGAUCGAACGUUCAAAAGUUGUCCUCGCCGAGGAGAGACGUUUAUGAGCUCCAAUGAACCCUCAUCGCUGAGGGUUACCUGGCAGACGACCGCGAGCGUAGAUAGUUAUCACACCCAUGAUGCCACCAAACACUGGCAAGCUGAUUCAUUUGAGAGGAGCCGGCCGCAG